Molecule: ribosomal RNA, 552 nt
Filed under: Vairimorpha ceranae
Lineage: Eukaryota; Fungi; Microsporidia; Nosematidae
Description: SSU rRNA
Rfam family: Microsporidia small subunit ribosomal RNA
Source: RNAcentral
CUCCAGGUUGAUUCUGCCUGACGUAGACGCUAUUCCCUAAGAUUAACCCAUGCAUGUUUUUGACAUUUGAAAAAUGGACUGCUCAGUAAUACUCACUUUAUUUUAUGUAAAUUUUUAAUUAACUACGUUAAAGUGUAGAUAAGAUGUUUACAGUAAGAGUGAGACCUAUCAGCUAGUUGUUAAGGUAAUGGCUUAACAAGGCUGUGACGGGUAACGGUAUUACUUUGUAAUAUUCCGGAGAAGGAGCCUGAGAGACGGCUACUAAAUCUAAGGAUUGCAGCAGGGGCGAAACUUGACCUAUGGAUUUUAUCUGAGGCAGUUAUGGGAAGUAAUAUUAUAUUGUUUCAUAUUUUAAAAGUAUAUGAGGUGAUUAAUUGGAGGGCAAAUCAAGUGCCAGCAGCCGCGGUAAUACUUGUUCCAAGAGUGUGUAUGAUGAUUGAUGCAGUUAAAAAGUCCGUAGUUUAUUUUUUAAGAAGCAAUAUGAGGUGUACUGUAUAGUUGGGAGAAAGAUGAAAUGUGACGACCCUGACUGGACGAACAGAAGCGAAAGCU